RNAcentral lists this non-coding RNA (30 nucleotides) under Rattus norvegicus (Norway rat). The record is from RNAcentral. Lineage: Eukaryota; Metazoa; Chordata; Mammalia; Rodentia; Muridae.
UAUAAGAUAGUGGAGGAGAUGGUAAAGAGG